GAUGAACGCUGGCGGCGUGCCUAAUACAUGCAAGUCGAGCGAACAGAUGAGGAGCUUGCUCCUCUGACGUUAGCGGCGGACGGGUGAGUAACACGUGGAUAACCUACCUAUAAGACUGGGAUCAUUUCGGGAAACCGGAGCUAAUACCGGAUAAUCUAUUGAAUCGCAUGGUUCAAUAGUGAAAGACGGUUUUGCUGUCACUUAUAGAUGGAUCCGCGCCGCAUUAGCUAGUUGGUAAGGUAACGGCUUACCAAGGCAACGAUGCGUAGCCGACCUGAGAGACUGAUCGGCCACACUGGAACUGGGACGCGGUCCAGACGCCUACGGGAGGCAGCAGUAGGGAAUCUUCCGCAAUGGUCGAGAGCCUUACGGAGCAACGCCGCGUGAGAGAUGAAGGUCUUCGGAUCGUAAAGCUCUGUUAUUAGGGAAAAACAAAUGUGUAAGUAACUAUGCACGUCUUGACGGUACCUAAUCAGAAAGCCACGGCUAACUACGUG
RNAcentral lists this ribosomal RNA (497 nucleotides) under uncultured bacterium. Its description in RNAcentral is "partial 16S ribosomal RNA". It matches the Rfam family "Bacterial small subunit ribosomal RNA", at positions 28 to 507 of the family's 1533-position model. The record is from RNAcentral.